CGGGGGGGGCAAGCGUUGUUCGGAAUUACUGGGCGUAAAGGGCUCGUAGGCGGCCAACUAAGUCAGACGUGAAAUCCCCAGGCUCAACCUGGGAACUGCGUCUGAUACUGGAUGGCUUGAAUCCGGGAGAGGGAUGCAGUAUUCCAGGUGUAGCGGUGAAAUGCGUAGAUAUCUGGAGGAAUACCGGUGGCGAAGGCGGCACCCUGGACCGGCAUUGACGCUGAGGAGCGAAAGCCAGGGGAGCAAACGGGAUUAGAUACCCCGGUAGUCCUGGCCCUAAACGAUGAAUGCUUGGUGUAACGGGUAUCGAUCCCUGUUGUGCCGAAGCUAACGCAUUAAGCAUUCCGCCUGGGGAGUACGGUCGCAAGGCUG
Molecule: ribosomal RNA, 372 nt
Filed under: uncultured organism
Description: bacterial SSU rRNA
Rfam family: Bacterial small subunit ribosomal RNA
Source: RNAcentral